This 468-nucleotide ribosomal RNA is filed under the name uncultured bacterium. RNAcentral describes it as "partial 16S ribosomal RNA". It matches the Rfam family "Bacterial small subunit ribosomal RNA", at positions 28 to 507 of the family's 1533-position model. The record is from RNAcentral.
GACGAACGCUGGCGGCGUGCUUAACACAUGCAAGUCGAACGGAAAGGCCCUGCUUUUGUGGGGUGCUCGAGUGGCGAACGGGUGAGUAACACGUGAGUAACCUGCCCUUGACUUUGGGAUAACUUCAGGAAACUGGGGCUAAUACCGGAUAGGAGCUCCUGCUGCAUGGUGGGGGUUGGAAAGUUUCGGCGGUUGGGGAUGGACUCGCGGCUUAUCAGCGUGUUGGUGGGGUAGUGGCUUACCAAGGCUUUGACGGGUAGCCGGCCUGAGAGGGUGACCGGCCACAUUGGGACUGAGAUACGGCCCAGACUCCUACGGGAGGCAGCGGUGGGGAAUAGUGCGCGAUGGGCGGAAGCAUGAUGCAGCAACGCCGCGUGCGGGAUGACGGCCUUCGGGUUGUAACCCGCUUUCGCCUGUGACGAAGCGUGAGUGACGGUAAUGGGUAAAGAAGCACCGGCUAACUACGUG